AGAGGUGUGCUCUUCCGUUCAAGGUAGGAAGGACCUUCUAACUGCCCAGGGUAGGACGGACGUUCCAACUACUAGGUAGGAAGGCCCUUCUAACCGCUCAAGGUAGGAAGGACCUCCUAACCGCUUAAGGUAGGAAGGACCUUCCAACACCAUGGGAAUCUCAUAGGUUUAGAGUGAAGUUAGGUCACUAGUCCAUGAGCAGUGGAAUGAGCCUGGUCUAGAAGGCCAGGGUCUGAUGAUAGGAUGGAUGGGCUUAGGCUACCGUGUGCUGGAUCGAGAGGAUAAAAGGUAAGGAAAUAAAGAAGAGGAUGUAGUGUGGUACUUACAUAAGGAGAAUGUUUUCAAAUAUAAAUACAAGUAUAAUGAAUAUUGUAUUUCCAAGUGGCAGGAAGGAAAAAAGGAACAUCCAGUGGGCUUUAAAAGGUGUGUCUGCAAUGAGCAGGGCUAUAUUCUUUUUCUGAGCUUUGCAGUGGAGGUGAGAAAGUGAGGAGGAGGAGGAUGUGGGAGGACUGGCUUUAUUCUUCUAACUUGCCAUUUGAGAGAAGAGGAAAGAAGAGGAGGAUGGCUGACAUGGGAGAGCUGAAGGCAGGGCAGUCUACGAUAAGCAGCAGGGAGAAUCAAUGGAAAACCCAGAGAGGUGAUUUGCACAGCUUCAGUAGUGGUGGUGGGACAGCAAUGGAAACCAUCUGAGUAUGAAAGCAGAUACAGGAAGGAAGAAGGUCCUAGAGACAAGAGUCAUGAGUUAAGACCAAGUGGCAGGUUUUAGGUUUUUAGAGCAGUAUGGGCCACAGAGAAAAUGCUGGGAGUCUUCCACUAACCAGAGGGCACAAAAAGAAACAGGCUUGAAGCAGAAAGGCUGCAGGAAGGAAGGAGGUACAUCAAGAUGAUGUAGCACAUGGUGGAGUCAGCUGUAGAAGACAGGGCAGAGACACUAGAGAGAAGAGAGCAGGGAGCAGAGAGCAGGGACACAAGCUGGACAACUGCAGGCACAAGAAAGUGGGAAGUCGCAGAGGCAGAAGGAGGCCCUUAAGAGCGGUCUGGCCAACUUGCAAGCCACACUUUGGGAAGAAAAACCAAACCAAAGCAAGCAGGGGUGGGAAGCAAGCAGCAGGGAGAAAUGGGAUCUUGAACCCUGAAUACUGUUAGAAUGGUGCAAAUGUGGAGCCAGGCUCUUAGUCUGGAUCUGGCAGGGAAGGAAGGACGGUGAGGAUGGUUGCAGAGAGAGGAUUUGGGCCAGGGUUAAUACAGCUUGCUGGACUGGAUGGAAGGGCAGUUUUGGGAGCAGUGGGGACUGGGGUGGAGACACAAGCCUGGUUUUAGGCAUUGAGAAGACAUCU
Molecule: non-coding RNA, 1337 nt
Organism: Peromyscus maniculatus bairdii (prairie deer mouse)
Lineage: Eukaryota; Metazoa; Chordata; Mammalia; Rodentia; Cricetidae
Source: RefSeq, a predicted model, not a curated record